UCCGUCUCUCUGUGUGUCUCUCCGUCUGUCUGUGCCAGGUCAUUGAUAGAACAGGAAGAGGAAGUGAAAGACUUUCCCGUGUUUGCUGGAUCCUGUUCCUCACAAACCCUGAAUCUUUCACACA
RNAcentral lists this small nucleolar RNA (124 nucleotides) under Sinocyclocheilus grahami. RNAcentral describes it as "Small nucleolar RNA SNORA71 (ENSSGRG00000003434.1)". Lineage: Eukaryota; Metazoa; Chordata; Actinopteri; Cypriniformes; Cyprinidae. The record is from RNAcentral.